GUACUUGGGCCUUGACUCCACUGUGUGACUUUUGGCGAACUACCUAAUUCUCUGGGGCUCAAUUUCCCCCGUCUGUCAAAUGAAAACAGUACUCUAGGGCCAUGGUUCUCAACGUGUGUAGCCUGGGCCGGCAGCAUUAGCCGUCACCAGGGAGCUUGUUGGAGAUGCAAAUUCUUGAGCCCUCCCUGAAUGGACUAAUUCUGAGACUCUGGGAGUGGGAUCCAGUAAUCUGUGUUUCACAAGCCCUCCUGAGGCUUGAGACUGUAAUUUGGUUAAUUAUUUCCCAGAGCCCCGGUUUGGUGGCUACAGCACAGCACGAGGCAGAGGAACGGAGACAGGUCCUCGGAAGCCUCUUUCCAGAAAAUCUAAUUUCAUCAUUGAGAAAUCUUCUGUCUUAAACAGCCUCUGCCACCGCCAUAAAUUUACAUAUUCUAUAUGCCGCCGGAACGGAGUGGGCCCUAUUUGCAUAAUGCUGCUGGAGGGGCUCAUGCUCCUCUUGAACCUGAAUGUAGCAGGAGCGAGGAAGCAAUUAUUAAGCUGUAGACGUUGGCAGGGAGAGAGGCCUCAGAUGGAUUUCGACUCCAAACCUCAUUCGCCAGGGCUGCUCAUUACCGAAGGCCUGGAUCCCAGGCUGAAGGUGGAUCCCAGGGCUGGGAAAAAUCAGUGUGAAUUGCUUUCUCCAGGUUAUGUCUGCAGCCAGGCCGAGGCCAGAUGUGGGGGGCCUUUGAGCAUCCUGGACAAUUCAUUGCUUUGCUCAGCCAUUUAUUCAACAAUCACAGGACACUGGACACAGAGUUGAACAAAACAAAUGAACUUCCUGCCCUCACAAGGAUUACGCUCUAGAGCAGGAAGACAAACCUUCAUCAAACAACAUCAGUUCCACUCCCAAGGCUCCCCACUCCAUCCCCAUGAUAAGCCAAAGUUGAGUAAACUGGACACCAGAAUAAUAAGUGGGAAAGAGAGGGACAGGUCUGAUGAGUUACCAUGAAAUGAGCACUGGACUGUAGGUCAAGAGGCCAACCCCAGCUUUGCUGCUGACAUUCUGUGUUGUCUUGAACAAGUCACACCCUCUCUUAGGGUCUCCAUUUCUUCAUCCAUAAGUGAAAUAAAUCUAUAAAAAUAUCCACCUGUCUUGUAUCAUGGACUUUAAUGAGAUAAUGUCUAGAAAAGAGAGUUCUAUGGCACAAAUAAAAUAAGUGUAGUAACUAA
Molecule: long non-coding RNA, 1209 nt
Organism: Symphalangus syndactylus (siamang)
Lineage: Eukaryota; Metazoa; Chordata; Mammalia; Primates; Hylobatidae
Source: RefSeq, a predicted model, not a curated record